RNAcentral lists this ribosomal RNA (402 nucleotides) under uncultured prokaryote. Its description in RNAcentral is "bacterial SSU rRNA". It matches the Rfam family "Bacterial small subunit ribosomal RNA", at positions 355 to 774 of the family's 1533-position model. The record is from RNAcentral.
UAGGGAAUAUUUGAAAUGGACGCAAGUCUGAUCUAGCAACACCGCGUGUGCGAAGAAGGCCUUCGGGUCGUAAAGCACUUUUUGGAAGGAAUAGGAAGGAAUGUACUUCCAGAAUAAGUCUCGGCUAACUACGUGCCAGCAGCCGCGGUAACACGUAGGAGGCGAACGUUAUCCGGAUUUACUGGGCGUAAAGCGCGUGUAGGUGGUUCUGUAAGUAGGGCGUGAAAGCUCCUGGCUCAACUGGGAGAGGCCGUUCUAAACUACAGAACUAGAGGGUGGUAGAGGGAGGUGGAAUUCCAGGUGUAGCGGUGGAAUGCGCAGAUAUCUGGAGGAACACCAGUGGCGAAGGCGGCCUCCUGGACCAUUCCUGACACUCAGACGCGAAAGCUAGGGUAGCAAACG